CACACGUGACAUGGCAUUCCCGCAUCUGCGCACGCGCCCGCGCUCGCUCUCACCUCAUGCUUGUGGUUGAAUACAAAUGAUCAACAUAAUUAAUGGACAACUAGGCUAUAUCAGGGAAAACACAUCAGCGCAGUCCGGCGUAGAGAAAAGAAAAAGAAAAAGCCCAAGAUGAAGCCCGUGCAUCACUUUCAGUAUUCUCAGAGAACAGCCUGAUGUUACAGCAGUUCAUUUCAGUGAGAUCGAGGAAUCAUCCCAAAGGAAGCACUUCACUACCUGUAUGGAUAACUGAAGACUCAGGUCAUUUCCUGUUGAUACGGCAUCAUCACGGUAGUUCUCUUACUGAUUUUGAGGGAGCAAUGUCCACUCAACAUGUACAGUAACCUUCACACAACAGCACUAACAUUCCCCUUCAUGUACAGGUGCAAAGCAUCCUUCCAUUUUCAUAAAGUCACAAACAGAUCAAAAACUCCAUAUGUGAAGUGUCUGGUGAAGCUUUGUGGUCUGGCUGAAUUUGGCAGAGCACUAACAGAACAUGAAAUUGUCUGCAUUACUGUUGCCGCUCAGAUGGCGAGGAGUAAUUCUCAGUGCAGGGUGAUGCUGCUAAAGUUCUUCAUGAACUACCUGACUACAGAGGGAUAUUCACAGGUUUACAAAGCCAUGGCCGACUAAACAGAAGAUGGUUGAGGGACACACAGAAGCUCCCAUCAAGUAUAAAGACCUUUAACUCUCCAGCAGUUACAGCAUUACAGAGACUAAGAAUGAGGAGAUGCCAGCCAGAUGUGAAAAUAAAUGAGUUCCUUUUUUUGUCAUUUGCUUGUUUGUAUUUCUUAUUAUUGUUUAUUUUUGAUCUUCUCUGGGAAAAGAGGUCUGAAUGAUGCAGAUGACAUAAAAGCAUACCACUAGAUGGCAGUAACAACUAUA
Long non-coding RNA from Sinocyclocheilus anshuiensis, 921 nucleotides. RefSeq lists it as uncharacterized. Lineage: Eukaryota; Metazoa; Chordata; Actinopteri; Cypriniformes; Cyprinidae. The record is from RefSeq and is a predicted model, not a curated record. The transcript is spliced from 3 exons.